RNAcentral lists this ribosomal RNA (328 nucleotides) under uncultured eukaryote. RNAcentral describes it as "partial 18S ribosomal RNA". It matches the Rfam family "Eukaryotic small subunit ribosomal RNA", at positions 1470 to 1796 of the family's 1831-position model. The record is from RNAcentral.
CCCUUAGAUGUCCGGGGCUGCACGCGCGCCACACUGAAGGAAUCAGCGUGCUAAAACCAUUGUCGAAAGGCAUUGGUAAACCCAUUAAAAUCCUACGUGAUUGGGAUCGGGAAUUGCAAUUAUUUCCCUUGAACGAGGAAUUCCCAGUAAGUGUGGGUCAUAAGCUCGCGUUGAUUACGUCCCUGCCCUUUGUACACACCGCCCGUCGCUGCCCGGGACUGAGCCGUUUCGAGAAAAGCGGGGACUGCUGCUGUCGGGGCUUUCGGGCCUUGGCUUCGGUGGAAACCGCUUUAAUCGCAGUGGCUUGAACCGGGCAAAAGUCGUAACA